CACCAAAGAUGCGCACACAUGGCACGCAGCUUUCUAUGAAAACACUGCGACCUCACUACAAAAGUACAGGCACACAGAAAACUGUGCUGCACUGAUGUCGGUGUUGGGACCUCAGCUGUAAGAGACCUCGCUUGGAGGAGGGAGAGGACAACCCAAGUUGUUCAAGUAUGGACUUCGGAGAGCCACAGGAUGCUACCUAUGAUCCUGAUGACUCGAUCACAGUCUUGACUGAGUCAGCAGAUGUGACAUUACGUGGAUAACCUGUUGGACCUCAUCUUUCACAAGGUUUUUCAGGACCCGGCCCCAUAUGUGAAUGAGGUGCUGAAGAUCUCAAAACCGGAGGAUCUCUCUGCCAAGUAUGAGAAACCUGACA
Molecule: long non-coding RNA, 373 nt
Organism: Pleuronectes platessa (European plaice)
Lineage: Eukaryota; Metazoa; Chordata; Actinopteri; Pleuronectiformes; Pleuronectidae
Exons: 3
Source: RefSeq, a predicted model, not a curated record